CCGUAAGCUCAAUUUGUAAAGCAAAGCAAGAGUGUAGGAGCAAAGUGGAACCUCCAAGCGUUUGGCCAUGCAAGGUUUCAUUCAGAAUUGCUAUCUUUGAUGCAUCGUUGAGUCCCUUGGACCCCAUCAUGGCUAUGUAAGUAUAAGAGAUUGGCAAAAUAAGUGCAGAGCCCCAAGGUGCGGCAGAGAUGGUUCCGAGUGGCUGAGACUUGUCGAGGGCAUGAAGGCCACCGGCCGGUCGAUACCUUGAGUACAAUGGCACAAUUUUUUUUUUUUUUUGUUUAUAUUUUCCUCAUCCCCAAGUCAAGUGCAAGAACUCUCCCUCUAGUGUGAGUCCCACAAUUUCUUACCAUGGACUUCACUCGAUCCUGACCGUUGAUUUGGUGUGAUGAGAUUCAAUGUGGAGGUGUUGGACAUUCAACUGUUGGGAUUGUGAUGAUGAUGGUGUUUUAUGGCUCUUUGAGACCAAAAAUGGCAUUUGCCUUGUGCAAGUGGAUUUCCCUCCAUCUUAUAUGUUCAUUCUUCAAAUAGUGAUAAGAUAGUAAGAAGAUAAACAUCUUUCCUUUUGUGCUGAUUGUGUAUUUAUAAAUUAUAUAUUGUGUGUUUAAGAAACUAACAUACGUAACACAUGUGUACUGAGAAUGAGACUACGACGACCGUAAAAUAUUUGUUUAAAUGGAGGGGUGAAACAAAACAUAGAAAGAAGAAAAGUGGGACUCACAGCUAUUUUUUUCUUGUUGUGCAAAUUUGGUAUUUAUGAUCUGCGUAUCAUAUAAUUCAAAACUUGACAGCCGUAACGUAUGCAGAUCUACGUCCUGAAAAUACGACGAGUGUAAAGUGUUUGUUGGAAUUGGAGGUGUAAAAUAAAACAUGCAUUUAUUGUGUAUUUAUGAAUCAGAUAUUAUGCAUUUAAGAAGCUGACAGACGUAACAUAUGCGUACUGAGAACGAGAAUACGAUGACUGUAAAGUAUUUGUUCAAAUGGAGAGGUGAACUAAAACAUUCCUUUUUAUUUUGUGUAGACUUUGUAUUUAUGAUUAGUAGACAACUAUUCUAAGCCAUUAGAUCAGCAUUAGUGUUUACUUAAGUUUAAUAUGUGACCUCUCUCACGUUGUAGACAAGAAAUUUGAUAUGGUAGCUCCCACUCUGCUUAUAUAUAGAUAUAGAGAUACAUACAUACAUAUAUAUAUAUAUGUGUGUGUGUGUGUGUGUAUCAUCAAGUAAAAUACUUACAUUGGCAUCUACAGUUUGAGGUUCUUUAUAUUUAUGAGGAAAAAAUAGAGACUCUCUUUAAAGUUACUCAUAGUAGAGUUAAUUCUGAAGCUAAUACUUUCUUCCAUCACGUGUGUGGCUUUUUUUUUUCUUUUUUUUUUUUUUGGUAUAGAAAUGAUAGGAUUUUACGAAGUAUUUUAAUAACCAAACAUUAAACAACCACAACAAGUCACAAUGAGCCACGUCUUAGUAUUAACCUCAAUACAAAUACAUAUUGUAUUUGCAUUCGUCAGAGACAUCCAACUAAGUGGAGAUCAAAUGUCAUUAGAUCAACUCAUCGUAAGGUGUUGCAAUGUGGUUUUUAAAGUUCAAGUUAGGGAACAAUGAUUUUGUAAUUCUUCCUAAAAUCUAGAUGUCACAUAUUGACAUUGACUGUGACAUUAAAGGUCACAUAUUGACAUUGACUGUGACAUUAAAAGUCACCUUCUCAAACUCAUUCGUUUGACAGUGAAGCUAUAUUACAUUAGAUUUUUUUUUUUCAAAUACGUUUCCGACAAGAAGACGACUAAACUAAUACAAUGUAAGAAAGAGAUUCAAACUUAGGUACAAGAGGAUCGGUGCACUGCGGUGAUCAACCGGGGAAAAAACCUACUGAAGAAGGGCAAUAAUAAUAGAACAUCUGAGUUGCAAUUAGCAACACAUGUUAUUAGAAAAGAUAAUCGUCAUCCUCAUAAAUAGGAAAUGAAAAUGUCACCAGAUAUAAAGGGCUGUAUUGAAGAAAUUAUAUACAAUGAGGGGAGUAAGAAGAAAUUAUGAUGAUUUCAUAACACAUAUCCAUGACCAGACUUUGUGUUGAGCUCAAUGCACUGAGGUGAGGAGACUAAGGCCCCGUUUGGUAUUGUUUUUUUUUUUUUACUAAAAACUGCUUAACUUUAAAUUUAAGCAGUAAAAAAGUGUUUUGGUAAAAGUAAAAUAUCCUGCUUAUUUUAAAAGUAAUGUUUUCCAGACAACAACUUUUAAAAGCAGCAUGUAGGUUGCUUUUAAAAGCUGCUGUAAUAAAAAGCAGAGUUGGUUCUUUAAUAAUUAUUUUCAAUUGUUGUAAUACCUUCAUUAAUUUUUUUAAAUGACAUUGUUUAGCCUUCCACACACAUUCUGUCCCUUAGAGAACAAAGUAAACAUCACCACCUACCACUACAAAUACUAACCUCACACCUUUGUCACCACCACCGCCAUAACCACAAUCUCCACCACUGUCAUCACUACCAUCAUUGUCACCACCAUUACCGCAACCGCCACCAUUGCCACCACAACCACAAUUGCCAUUACCACUAUCAUUGCCGCCACCGCCGACACCACCAUAUCGGCAACCACCACCACCAUUACCAUCACUGUUGUCGUCACCCCCACUCCUACUACUACUAUGUCCAUUUGUGAUUGUAUACAAUUAUAUCACUUUUACAUUAAUUUUUACCAAAUGCUUUUGCGUUGCUUUUCAUACUCAAAGCACUUUUAAAAUUCAAUUAACAUCAACUUUAUUUUAUAGCUGAUUAUUCUUAAAGUAUAGUAUAAGCAGUUUUUUUUUAAAAGCACAACAAUCCCAAACUGGCCCUAAGUAGUGGCUGCUGCUUGUUCCUCCGCUGCCUCCGGUUGAAGGGUGCAUAUGAGGUUACGGUCACCAUACACAUUGUCAACUCGUCCUGAUACAACAGUUAACGAAAUUCAAUCGUCAAUAUAAGCAAUCGGAUAGCACCAAAAUGAAAGUAUAGCAAACACUUAGCAACUUCCAUGCCAUUGUAGUUUAUUUUUGGCGUAAAUUGCGUACCUGUAGUAGGCCAGAACUUGGAAGAACGGAGCCAGGAAGCGGGGAAGGCUGCAUAUUCCCGGGAAUAUGGCUUUGUCCAUGCAUCUCCGAUGAGCAGUGAUGGCGGGUGAGGAGCUCCCUGCAGAAGGAGUUCAAAAACCAUUUAUAUUUAAAAUGAGUAACUGAUAGUUCUUGGAGGAGAGAGAUGAACAGAACUUUUACUUUAAGGACGUUGUUAAGAAUAUCAGCUUUUCCUUUCUGAAUCAGAGCAAUCUCUUCUCUGAUGGAAAUUAGAGCAUCACAAAACCUGUCUAACUCGGCCUGCAAGCAAGAAAAACUAAUAUACUUUAGCUCGAAGAAAAACAUCAGAGAAAAAAAUUAACUGAAAUCUUUCUGUUGGGUUGUACCUUGCUUUCACUUUCUGUUGGAUCAAUCAUGCGAGUGCCAGGAACUGGCCAUGACAUUGUUGGUCCAUGGAACCCGUAGUCCAUAAGACGCUUGGGGACGUCCUCAGGCUCUAUCCCAGCAGUAUUCUACAAGGAAAAAAGAAGCAGCAGAGUUCAAUUAGAAAGAGAUUGAAAAAGCGGACAAAUCAAGGCAAAUGCUAAGAAUAUACCUUAAAUCCUUUCAAGUCAACAAUGAAUUCAUGGGCAACAGUUCCAUUGACACCAUGGAAAAGAAUGGGGUAGUAAUUCUGUAAGAAAUGACAGACAAAUUUAGCAUACAGAGGAAAUUUAACAUGGAGUAUAACCGUAAGCUCAAAUUGUAAAGCAAAACAAGAGUGAAGGAGCAAACUGGAACCUCCAAGCGUUUGGCCAUGCAGUUUGCAUUCAGAAUAGCUAUGAUGAUAUCUUUGAUGCAUCGGUGAGUCCCUUGGACCCCAUCAUGGCUAUGUAAGUAUAAGAGAUUGGCAAAAUAAGUGCAGAGCCCAAGGUGCGGCAGAGAUGGUUUCGAGUGGCUGAGACUUGUGGAGGGCAGGAGGGCCACCGGUAGAUACCAUGUGUACAAUGGCACAAUUUUUUUUGUUUGUUUAUAUUUUCCUCAUCCCCCAAGUCAAGUGCAAGAACUCUCCCUCUAGUGUGAGUCCCACAAUUUCUUACCAUAGACUUCACUCGAUCCUGACCGUUGAUUUUGUGUGAUGAGAUUGAAUGUGGAGAUGUUGAACAUCCAAGAUGGUGGUGUUUUAUGGCUCUUUGGGACCAACAAUGGCAUUUGCCUUAUGCAAGUGGACUUCACUUCAUCUUAUAUGUUCAUUCUUCAAAUAGUGAUAAGAUAGUAAGAUGAUAAACAUCUUUCCUUUUGUGUUGAUUGUGUGUUUAUGAAUAAGAUAUUGUGUGUUUAAGAAGUUGACAGACGUAACACAUGUGUACUGAGAAUGAGGAUACGAUAACCGUAAAAUAUUUGUUUAGAUGAAGGGUUGAAACAAAACAUAGAAAGAAGAAAAGUGGGCCUCAUUGCUAUUUUCUUUUUUUUUUGUUGUGCAUAUUUGGUAUUUAUGAUCUACAUAUCAUAUAAUUCAAAACUUGACAGCUGUAACACAUGUAGAUCUGCAUACUGAAAAUACGACGAGUGUAAAGUGUUUGUUUGAAACGGAGGUGUAAAAUAAAACAUGCAUUUAUUGUGUAUUUAUAAAUAAGAUAUUGUGUGUUUAAGAAGCUGACAAACGUAACUCAUGAGUACUGAGAAUGAGAAUACGACGAUUGUAAAAUAUUUGUUCAAAUGGAGAGGUGAAAUAAAACAUUCAUUUUUAUGUUGUGCAGAUUUUGUAUUUAUGAUUUGCGUAUUGUAGAAUUUAAAACUUGAUAGCUGUAACGCAUGCAACUAUCCUAAGCUAUUAGAUCAGCAUUACUAAGUUUAAUAUAUAAUCUCUCUCGCAUUGUAGACAAGAUAUUUGAUAUGGUAGCUCCGACUCUAAAGUAUUUCAUUAAGAUACUCAUUCUAUAAAUGGACUAUUAAAAAAACUAUAAAAAAAAAAGCAAGGAGAUGAAAAAGCUUGUUACGUCUCGAAUUGAGGACAGUGAAAAAAAAUAACCUCGUGGUUAAUUUAAAAAAAAUGAAAAUAAAACGAAAAUGAACUUCUAUUGUACAAUAAAUUUUGAAACUUUACAAGUGUACAAGAAUAAUAAAAAUAUUAUGCCGCUUUUCUAACACAAUUUCUGCUCUUCUACCAUUUAUUAAUUUUGUAUUGAAUAUGUAAGGUCUAAAAUGUAUAAGGGGAAGGACAUAAGUUUUAUCAAGGAUAAUUGUCAAGACUAAACCAACACAUAAUUCAAUCAUAUUUCAUGAUAUCAAAUAUCACCAACAUAAAUUAUAUUUCAUAAAUACAGCUUAACUUCAUUACAGUGACAAUUUAUCUCAAAUGCCAAAAACCUGCAUUUUGCUUGAUAGUUUGAGUAAAGGUUACAAUACUUUCUUUACUGUUGCUCACAUUUCUUGUAGUGAACGGAAGCGAAAUCAAGGUCCUUCCAAGUAUAUCUCUUGGACUCUCCAACAACUCAUCAAGAAGUCGCAAUCGGAUGUGUUCGAUGCAAAGAUUGACAGGCCUAUUGAGCCUGCAUGUACGACCAACACCUUCGAUCAGUUGCUCAAGAUCUUCAAGUAGUAGAUUGCAUGCUCGCAUACGUUGCACAGCCUUGCCUUCGUUGAUUACCAUUAAUUAUUUGUUUCUUAUUUAGUAUUUUCAAUUAAUUUUUGUGUUCGAGAUUUGUUAUAUAGACAUGUUUUCAAGUUCUACAACAUUCAGAACAUUGUUGUAAAUGUCGGCUUUUCCUUUUUCAAUCCGAGCUGAAGACUUAAGAGGUGGCUGCCGCUUGUUCCUCCACCGCCUAAGGGUGUAGAUGAGGUUGCCUUCACCACACAUAUUGUCAACACGCACAUCCAGAUAUUGUAUAGCUAUCAACGAAAAUCGUCACUAAAAGUAAUCAGAACAAUACCACACUGUACAUACCUGAAACUCCUCCAAGAAAUUGAUAUCUACGCUCACUAAAAAACCUAAGACAUAAACUUGGUCUCCACUAUUGAGAGUUCAUAGUGGAGACCAAGGAAUGAAUGAUCAUCCUUGAAUGAUCAUCCAUCCACAUUUUUUAAUUAGUGACCAAGGAGUGAAUGAUCAUCCAUCCUUGAAUUUGGAUAUGUUUUUAUUAUUUUAAUCUCAACCCUUAAUAUCAGAUCCAAGGGCAAAUGACUAUGAAUUCUUGGUCCCCAAGCAAUACAAGGUCAAUACUCCUAUGAUAUUGUUUUCUUAUUUAUCAAUUUGUUCCGAAUAUUAUGGUUUUUUGGACCAACUUGGAAACCCUUGCAGACUAGUAUUUGGAAACCCUUGCCGCUUUUACUCAUUAUAUUUACAUUGCUAGACUUUCUUAGUUUCUCAAUUCUUACCUUCCAGUUUGUUCUCUUCCCUAUUCUCAAUAUCUUCACGUCCAACUAGCUCUAGCUUUCAGAAAACCCUAGUUUUUUUCCUCUCGUCUAUAACAGUUUCUUCUGUUUCCAAAUAAACCCUAGCUUUCAUAAACCCCUAGUUUUGUUUCUUUCGUUUAGUCAAGGAGAAGUACAAACAAUGAAUCUUUCAAACAUUCUUCAAGAAAAGACGAGUAUGUUCAUCAAGAAGUUGAGCAAGUCCCAGUACUCCAAGAAAAGUUACACAGCUUUAAGCAAGCCCCAGCCCCCUAAGAAAGGUUAUAUCAAUGUGUACGUUGGACAAGAACGAAAGCUAUAUCAGAUUCCUUUGAAGUAUCUCUUGGAUCCAACUCUCCAACAACUCAUCGAGAAGUCGCAGCCGGAUGUGUUCGACUCAAAGAUUGACGGGCCAAUUGAGCUUGCAUGUACGACCCACACCUUCGACGAGUUUCUCAAGAUCUUCAAAAAGUAGCAGACUGCAUGCGUGCGCAGCCUUGUUUGAUUAAUAUUGAUUAUUUGUUCAUUUUUUUGUACUUUGAUUUAAUUUUUGUAUUCGAGGUUUAUUAGUUAUUGAUUCAGAUGCACAAAAAUUAACGUUUUUGUACAGCCUCUCAACCUCAUCCGUUUGACGGUGAGGAUAAAUAAUAUACAUUGAUUUUUUUUUUCAAAUAUGUUUUUGGCAAUCGGGCGCCUAAACUAAUCUAACGUAAGAUGGAGAUCCAAACUUAGGUGCAAGAGGGCCGACGCACUGCAGUGCCCAACUGGGAACAAAACCUAAUGAAGAAGGGCAAAAAUAAUUACAACAUCUGAGUUGCAAUUAGCAACAUGUUAUUAGAAAGGAUAAUUGUCAUCAUCAUAAAUAGGAAACGAAUGUCACCAGAUAUAAAGGGUAUAUUGAAGAAAUUAUAUACAAUGUGGGAGUAAGAAGAAGAAAUUGAUGAUGAUUUCAUAACAUAUCCAUGACCAGACUUUGUGUUGAGCUCAAUGCACCGAGCCGAGGAGAUUAAGCAGUGGCUGCUGCUUGUUCCUCCACUGCUUCCGGUUGAAGGGUGCAGACGAGGUUACGGUCACCAUACACAUUGUCAACGCGUCCUGACACAAUAGUUAACGAAAUUCAAUCGUCAAUAAAAGCAAUCAGAGAGUACCAAAAUGGAAGUAUAGCAAACACCUGGCAACUUCCAUGCCAUUCUAGUUUCUUUAUUUUUGGUGUAAAUUGCAUACCUGUGGUAGGCCAGAACUUGGAAGAACGGAGCCAGGAAGCGGGGAAGGCUGCAUAUUCCCGGGAAUAUGGCUUUGUCCAUGCAUCUCCCAUGAGCAGUGAUGGCGGGUGAGGAGCUCCCUGCAGGAGGAGUUCAAAAACCAUUUUUAAUUAUGUAAAAUGAGUAACUUAUAGUCUUGGAGGAGAGAGAUGAGCAGAGCCUUUACUUUAAGGACAUUGUUGAGAAUAUCGGCUUUUCCUUUCUCAAUCUGAGCAAUCUCUUCUCUGAUGGAAAUUAGAGCAUCACAAAACCUGUCUAACUCGGCCUGCAAGCAAGAAAAAUAAUUACUUGAACUCGAAGAAAAACAUCAGAGAAAAAAUCAAAGGAAAUUUUCUGUUGGGGUGUACCUUGCUUUCACUUUCUGUUGGCUCAAUCAUGAGAGUGCCAGGAACUGGCCAUGACAUUGUUGGUCCAUGGAAACCGUAGUCCAUAAGACGCUUGGCAACGUCCUCAGGCUCUAUCCCAGCAGUAUUCUACAGGAAAAAAAAGCAGCAGAGUUCAAUUAGACAGAGAUAAAAAAUGCGGACAAAUCAAGGCAAAUGUCAAGAAUAUACCUUAAAUCCUCUCAAGUCAACAAUGAAUUCGUGGGCAACAGUUCCAUUGACACCACGGAAAAGAAUGGGGUAGUAAUUCUGAAAGAAAUGACAGACAAAAUGAGCAAACAGAGGAAAUUUAACAUAGAGUAUAACCAUAAGCGCAAAUUGUAAAGCAAUACAAAAGUGAAGAAGAAAAGUGGAACCUCCAAGCGUUUGGCCAUGUAGUUUGCAUUCAGAAUUGCUAUCUUUGAUGCAUCAGUGAGUCCCUUGGACCCCAUCAUGGCUAUGUAAGUAUAAGAGAUUGGCAAAAUAAGUGCAGAGCCCCAAGGUGCAGCAGAGAUGGUUCCGAGUGGCUGAGACUUGUCAGGGACAGGAAGGCCACCGGUAGAUACCUUCAGUACAAUAGCACAAAACUUAGACAUCCAGCAUGUAAGGAAUUACAUUGUUUCUCAUGUAAACCAAAUUGAUUAUUUCUGAGUUUACAGAAUCGGUUGAAAAGCUUCAACGUUAAGAGUAGUUACCACAGGAUGGGAUGGUAAGAAGGGUGCCAAGUGCUUCUUCACACCAAUAGGACCCAUGCCAGGGCCACCACCUCCGUGUGGAAUGCAAAAUGUUUUGUGGAGAUUGAGAUGGCAAACGUCAGCUCCAAUCCAACCUGGGCUUGUCAGACCAACCUGCAAGAACAAAAAGCUUGUUAGAUUGGACAUGCGCCAGCAAAAGAAAACAGCCUGCAGGGCAGAAACUGUUUGAAUUUAUGUUUCAAGGACAUAACUAUCAAGCAUGGAUAGGAUAAGAUACAGACCUGUGCAUUCAUGUUAGCCCCGUCCAUGUAUACUUGACCCCCGUUGUCAUGAAUGAUCUUACAUAUCUCAUCAAUACCUUCUUCAUACACUCCGUGAGUUGAAGGAUAUGUCACCUACAAUUUGAAAUAUGGUCAAAUCUCUCCGAUCUUUUUGAAAUGAUAUAAAUCUUUUUUGACAUAGGAUUCUUACCAUAAAAGCUGAUAGGUUAUCCUUGUUUGCUUCAGCAGCCUUCUUCAGCUCUUCAAUGUUGAUGUUUCCCUUGGCAUCAGUUCCAAUAGUUACAAUCUUCAUUCCACACAUUGCAGCACUAGCAGGAUUCGUACCAUGUGCCGAGACAGGAAUGAUACACACAUUCCGGUGGCGAUCCCCUCUUGCCUACAGUGGGUAACCAGUGAAGGGUUCAGCAUGAUUAGUUACAAGGAUAAACCUUUAGGUCAAAUACUUUAAUUUAAAGUGCUCAUAUUGAGCUCGACAGCAAAGGCUUGCUAACAAAUAUUAAAAAAGGGAAAACAAAAGAAGUAAAACUCAGGAUUUCUUACAAAAUGAUAUGCCCGAAUAACCAUCAGCCCAGCAUACUCUCCAGCAGCUCCGGCAUUGGGUUGCAAAGAGAAAGAGUCAAAGCCAGUGAUGGUGCACAAUAGGUCACCCAAAUCUCUGAACAUUUCCUGAAAUUUAUUAUUUCACAGCAUAUGGUAUAAGAUUUCUAUUUACAUGAAGGAAAGCAACGUAACAAAAAGAAAUUCAGGGGAAAAAGUUUGAAACUGUUUAAGUUCAUUCGUAAGUAAACAUUUUUAACUACCUGAUAACCCUCAGCCUGUUCUGUAGGAGCAAAAGGGUGAAUAUCGGUGAAACUAGGCCAUGUCACUGGCAUCAUUUCAGUUGUUGCGUUCAAUUUCAUGGUACAAGAUCCCAAGGGAAUCAUACUGUGGCAUAGAGACAGAUCCUUCGAUUGCAACUUAUGCAUGUAUCGUAGCAACUCAUGCUCGGUAUGAUACCUAAUAGAGAGAAUGAAUUUAAGUCGAUUUAGUUGUCAAAUAGUAGGCUGUGAGAGUUCAAUCAUCUGGAAAGGGACAUACGAGUUGAAGAUCGGAUGGGUAAGGAAUGUGCUCUCCCUCGUUAACCCAGAAGGAAUUGCAGGCUGAACUUCUGGCGCAAGAGAUGCAGCAGUGAAAGGGACCUGGAAAUUAAACAAAUUUCUUACUAAAUGGAUGCACUUCAUAAUAAAUUGCAAAUAUCAUCUUUAUGGUAAAGAUAUAUACUUACAGGUUUUCCCAAUGCAAAAGCUUUGAAAAGCUUGUCAACAUCCUCCAAGGUAGUUGUUUCGUCAAACGAAACAGUGAUCUGAAAAGGAGUUAACUUUCAGUACCCUCGUGAUGUAAAAACACUCCAUCCUCUGUCCUCAGAGAAUAUUUAGUUAAAUAACUGAUGCAAGAGACAAAAAAAAUACUCACAGUGCUCGAGUCUACUACUCUCAAAUUUAAUCCAAGCUUGUUAGCAGCAUCAGAAAUUGCAUGUGCGUCAGCAACCUUAACCUUCACAGUGUCGAAGAAGGGAAGGCUCUGAACUUCCACUGUUCCAAGUUUCUUCAAUCCAACUGCAAACGCCCCAGCAAGACCAUGAACCCUUUGAGAAAUGGUUUUAAGGCCUUCGGGUCCAUGAUAUACAGCGUACAUGGCAGCCAUGUUUGCAAGUAAUGCCUAUAAAACAAAACAAAAAAUAUCCAAUCAAAUUGAAAUAUAUGAUUCCAUCAUUUGAUCGAAAAUUUCAAACUUUCAACAGUUCAUCCCCAAUAAAAAUCAUAAAACAGAUCAAACAAAGAAUAGUAUAGUACCUGAGCAGUGCAAAUGUUGCUGGUAGCUUUGUCCCUCCUGAUAUGCUGCUCCCUUGUCUGCAUAGCCAUACGCAGCGCAGGCUUCCCCGAGGAAUCAACACUAACACCAAUAAUUCUCCCCGGCAUCAUCCUCUUGUACUCUUGUGAGGUGGCCAGGAAAGCCGCAUGAGGACCUCCAUACCCCAUCGGAACACCAAACCUCUGCGCAGAACCAACAACAAUAUCCGCCCCAAACUCACCAGGCGGCUUCAACACUGUCAACGCCAACAGAUCAGUUGCCAUCACAACCUUAACCCCAUUGGCAUGAGCAUUCUUAAUAAACUCCCCGUAGUCCAAAACCUCGCCCUCAGUCCCCGGAUACUGAACAAGAACACCACAAACAUCACCGGAACUGUAAUCAACAUCCUUAAGAUCUGCGGUAACAACCUUAAGAUCGAAACCAUCAGCUCUAGUCUUGCAAAUAUCAAUGGUCUGGGGGUGGCAGUUGUUGGCAAUGACAAAAGUCUUCUUCUUUCCCUUUUGGAUGUUGUUACACAUCGCCAUUGCCUCCGCGGCUGCGGUUCCCUCAUCGAGCAGUGAUGCAUUCGACAUGGGAAGGCCGGUGAGGUCAGUGAUCAAAGUUUGGAAAUUGAGCAGAGACUCCAACCUCCCCUGGGAAAUCUCAGCCUGGUAAGGUGUGUACUGAGUGUACCAAGCUGGAUUUUCCAUAAUAUUCCUCAAAAUUACAGGUGGGACAUGUGUGUUGUAAUAUCCCAUCCCAAUAAAACUCUUGAAAAUCUGGUUUUUUGAGGCCAAAUUCUUCAUGUGUUCAAGCAUUUGACUCUCUGUCAACCCCUCAUCGAAUUUCGGAAACUUCAUCGAUUCGAGUCGAAUCGAUUUGGGCACGGUGGCGUCGAUCAGCGAGUCGAGGCCAUCGAACCCGCAUAACUCCGCCAUUUUAAUCUGCUCCUCCGGGGUGGCGGAGUUAUGGCGGCGGGGAAAAGUGUCGCUGCUUUUCAAUGCGUCCACGGAAAUCGACCGGGUUUGGAACCCGGCAUUGUGGGACGCGUUUCUCGAGGGGAGCGAGUCUGAUCUGGGAUUCGAGCGCGUGAAGGAGCAUGGGGAGAGUGAGGAGACGUACCUCGACGGUGCGUAGAGAACAGGGGAGGUGGAGGAGCUCAGAACAGAGCUCUCGUUCUGGCGGAACUGCUUGGCCUCCGAGACCAACCGCUUCACGAAAGCCCGGUUCGCCAGCCGCCUCGCGCGCUCCAUGGAAGCUGAAAACGACUGCGUUUUGCAAAACCCAGAAAGCAGAAACUGGAAAUGCAGAUUGGGUUGGUGAGAAACUUGGAAAAAAUAUGAUUUCAAAGUCUGUUGCUUUUUUUCUUUGUUGCUCUGUUAUUCCAUUGGAGUGAAUGAGACUACAGGUUGGGGGAGGAUGUGGGUUUGUUUUUGAUAAGCAAAAUCAGUGGAGGUUUUUGUCAAUAUAUAAAUAUAUGAAUAUAUAAAUAUAUGAAUAUUUAAAUAUGAGCCGGAUUCGUGACAUCAUUUUUUAUACAUUUUUUACAGACAUUUUGUAAGAUCUGGUUCGUAUUGUAUCUCAACGAUCCGAACCAUUUAUUUUUUAAAACAUCAUUCGUAGAUCAUCCUUGUCUAAAAAAUUAGACAAAUACAAAGUUAUUAAGAAAUUCAUUUGUUGGGAAGGAAAUUGACAGAUAAGAUCCUACAAAGAAACACUAAAUUUACCCCUACAGUCAUAUGGUUCGAAUUUUGGUGAUUUUUCAUGCACAUGAUCUUUGACAAAAUGUUUAAAAAUAUACCAUUUGGAUCAUUGAAAUAUAUUAUGAAUUGAACUCUAUACAAGUAUUAUGCAAAAAAUUGUGUAAAAACGUAAAGUUACAAAUUUGCCUUUUUAAAUAUAAUAAUGUAUAUUAAAUUUGGAGAAAAUGUGAUGGGAGUUUCAAGAUCUGGUGGUGGUGGUGGGUGGUGGACGACUUGGACGACUGGGCACCUAUUGAGAAAAGGACAGAAUUUUUUUGGAGGGUAUGAAAAAUCCACAAAAAUAUAGAAAAUUAUGGUUCAUAAAAUCAUGAAUGUAUGGAAGGGAUUGGAGGAAAGGAGAUUGAGUUUCAAUGGAUCUGAAUGAAUGGCCUUGUCCAGAUAGUGUUGAGGGAGGAAGGGAGGGAGAAAAAACAUGAACCAAUGGAGUGUUUGAUGCAUAUCUGCUGGAUUUGGAGUGAGAAUAUGAGAAUCUUUUCUGUAAUUUGUUGGCAGAUUCUCUAACACAAUAGGCUUAUCUUCAUGUAUCACCUCACACACAAGGAGAACAAAGUAUGAAAAUUAAUCCAGGGUUAGAUUAUGAGUCUUAUGACUCGUGUAAUAUUACAAAUCUUUGAACUUAAGUGUAACAAGAUGUAUAUCGUUCUCUUUAUGUUAUGUAUGCAAAUAUACACACAGUUGCACUCAAGAUUUUUCCAAACGCUUUAGAUCUAAGCUAAUGAAUAGUGAUGAAAGACAAAAAGAAUUAUCACAUUUGUGGUAAUGGAGAUUUGGUUGAAUAUUCCGACUCCAAUCUUGUGAUUUAUUUGCCAGAUUGACUAUUUGGUGGGGCUAACUGUAUUUGGUGAAGUGUGGGUUGGCGGGACAGAAAUUCACUCGAAAUUUUAUUGUUUGGAGUUUAAGAAUCAAACAAUUUGAAUCACUCAAUUGAAUCUAACGUUCAUUAGUAACUCAUUUCAUAAGCUUACCUUACACAAAUCAAAAGCUCUAAUCCCUCUUUUACAUGGACCAAAAGUUUAGAUUUUCUGAUCCUUAGACUUGAGGUCCGGAGAAGAUCUAAAUCCGGGGUUGGUGUGUAAUUUUGGUAAAGAAUGACAGGGGAUCAUCCUUGAGAGGAAAAAGAUGUCUGUGGCUGACAAUGUACGUUUCAACCGAACUGAGUCAGAUGCUGUUAUUAUGGUUUAGUACUUGACGGUUUUUUUAGUCUGGUGUAUUAAUGACCGUCAAACUGUCAGAAUCAACGGACCAGAUUGUUUUUUGCUAAUGUUAGGAAUCCUGAUGGAGUAGGUGAAUCUAGGACUUGGUCUCAGCCUUUUAGUUUUUAAUCCCUGGGAAGUGGGAAUCCACUACAAAGGGCACUAUGUACAUUUGAGAGUACAAAUUAGGUUGCAGUGGCAUCAUGGUAUUUGUGGAAAAUGAUUGGUAUCUACAGUUUUAUCACAAUAUAGAAUAGUUUCAAUUAUCAUUAAGUGGCAUUGUUGGAUUGAUUCUUAGCAAAAAAGGACAUUGUUUCAAUGUCCUCAUUAUAUGGUAGGAAGCUGUAAAAGGGAAAACAAAACGAGUUCAAAUCUUCUGUAUUCAAAAUUUUAUGUGAUCUUUUUGUGAUCUAUUUCAUUUAUUGAUAUCUGAUCAUUCAUUUAAAUCUCACUUAACAAUGUUAAUUCUUCAACUUAUUCCUCAACAAAAAGAAUAAGAAAAUAGUAUCUGGUCCCUAGUUACUAAUGUUCAUUGACUAAGACCUUAUUAGUUUUUGGAUUUUGAUCAAAGUCCCUAACAUUAAUAUAAUAAUGAAUUUACAUGUCAGUUGCAUAAUUUUUUUUAAAUAAAAAUUAGUAAUUGAUUUAGGGUUUUAAUACUCACAUUUUUUUUAAAUAUGCAAUGUACCCAUUUUUCUUUAUAUAAAAUCCAUUCAAUUUUUUUAAUCCAUUUUUAAACUUAUAUGGGUACUUUCCUUUUUAGUUGAUUAGAGAAUGUAUCCAUGUUAAGUUUAAUUGAAGAAAUUUACUAAUGUUAUUAAGCCUAAUAUAUAUAUUUUUUUUUUGUGGUUUUGAAGAAUGUACCCAUGUUUUGAUCCAAUAAUAUUUUUUUGUUAAUUUUAACGAAUGUACCCAUGUUUAUAUAUAUGUAUAGGGAAUUGCUAUUAGCACUCCAAAAAUUUCAUUUUGUACUCCAAACUUGCUAUAAUUAGAAAUAAAAAUACACUUGUGAGGAGUGUAUAAUGAGAUUUUUGGAGGGCUAAUAACAAUUACACACACACACACACAAUAUAUUAGAGUGUAUAGUUUAUAUUUUAUUAUUUUUAAUCCCACAAAAUAUGGGUUUUAUUCUUAAUAUAAACAAUUACAAUUUUUAAUUUUUAAUUUAAAAAUAUAUAUAUAGUAACCUACAUAAAAAAUACAUUAUUACAUUUAUAUCAGGACUUUGAUAAAAAACUAAAAACUAACAAGAUUUCAGUUAAAGAAUAUUGAUAGGUUAGAGACCGCAUACAAAGUGUUCCUUAAAAAGUUAAGGGGACAGAUUUGUGGCAUUACUUUUUAAAACAAUUUUGUACACAUGUUUUUGUGGGGUUCACUUCGUAAUGUAUAAACUAAAGAUAAAUUUAAAUCAAAAGAACACGUGUCACUGAAGUAGAUAUGUCAAAGAGAGGCCACAAAGAGUUUUGGGUGCAUAAAGUUUGAACUCAAAUAAAACAUGAAGGAAAAAAAUAACAAAUAGUUUAUAGCUCAGUUGAUUAAGAGCAUUCGCUCAUACAAUUGAGGUCCUGUGUACGAAUUCACUGCCUAAUAGUUUAGAUGACAAAGUAUCUAUUGACUAAAUGUGAAAUUACAUAUGUAGGACAUCCAAAAUCUAGUUUUCGAGUCGGUAAAGAUUGAUGAAUUUUCACCAAGUUUUAGGUGAUCAUGAUAUAUGGUAGGUGCAAGUAAUAAACUUCCAUUUUAGUUCUUAAAGUUGGUAAAGGAGAAGGAGGUCACUGUCAUGAGGUAGGUUCAGUUUGAUCAUCUUUGACUACAUGAGCCGCCCAUGAAGUUUCCUUUCAUUUCACAACAUUCACUUCUGGGCUAAAUUUCAUAACCUUCCUUUUGGACCUAUUAUUUUUCAAAUUUUCUUAUCCAAUAAGCGCAGCCCGUUACAUAUGAAAAUAUUUUACUUAUUUAGAAUGAGAGGAAGUAAGGAAUCGAGAAUUUAAGAAUAAGAGAAGUAUGGAGUUCUUAAUUGAUUUUGUUUAUACCAUAUUUAGGGUCUCGUAUUUAGAUCUCGUACAAAUACUCGGGGGACUUAAAUGUAAUUAUGUGAUAAAGGAAUGGAAAAAUAUGUAAUAAGUGAGGAGUCCUUAUUCUAUAAAAGGACCCAUCACCCUCACAAUUGAGGGAGGCCAAUUCCCAGGCCCUCUCACCCCCUCUCAAAGCUCUCACUCUUAGAGCUCUCUCUCCCUCAAAUAAAUACAUAAUCAGUGUGGACGUAUCACAAACCUUGGCGUGAACCACGAUACAUCUUGUGUUAUUUACAUUACUUGCGGAUUCACGAUCGGAUUUACGUUGUUCCAAGACCUCAAGUUUUGUGCAUCAACAUUUGGCGCAAUCUGUGGGAAUCGACAUGAAAAGCUGUGUCAGUUCUCUUUCAUUUCUUUUUCAUCUCACCAUUGUGAAAACUUCACGACCUCCACCGUGAAUCUGCAGAGAAAUCAGAUGUUGACCGACUUUGAUCUCUCAUUAACAACCACAGAUCUAACAUCAAUGGCUCAAGUUGUUUUUGAUCGGGACCCACCAGUCACCAACCAUUCUGAUAAUCCCAACAAGCCAAACUUUGGCAUAUCAUCAUGCAUCCUACCAAGUCGUAUAGUCCGGGCCGCACCAUACACACACCCAAAACGCAAACGCAAGAAGAAUUCAGGCUACCGUCUGAUGCUUGAGAUCGUGGCAGAGCCUAUCAACGUCCGGUCAAUGGUACACUAUGAGGGAGCUGGAAAGUUGAAUGAGGUAAAAACACCUUCUGUUACUGCUUCUGCUUCGGCAACAACAAAUGUGAAACCGCCUAAAGCCACAUCUAGUUACUUCAAAGUCUUCUCCGACCCAUCAUCUUCAUGGCCGCCAGCUCCAGGCCUGGCGUUUCUUUUGCCCCACAACACUCAUCCUCCCUCACCCCGGUCCUGUCUCCCCAGGACAAGCCCCCUCUCUCCAAGUCCUAAACCGUCAGCACUGUUGCCGCCACUCAGGUCAACUUCAUGCGUGUCAUCGUGGAGCAUUCGCGGGAACUUUAUGGUGGCAGCGAAAGCCUGCGAUGUGUGGCAUGGGGUUUAGAGAGAGUGGCAUGGUCGUUGCACUUGCUCUACGUGUUGUAUCAGUCUCUCUCUCUUUGCGAGAAUGGAGGUCAGAAGAGGAACUCUCUGGAAACAAAAGUUUCAAAAGCUAGCUACCAGCCAUACAUGGCUGAAACUUCUUCCCGAACAAGAAACGCCGCCCUGUUUCUGUUGAAGACGUUCGAUCUGCUAGAAGAACAAGAUGUCGGAGGAGAUGAUGGUGGGAAGAGGAAUACUGUGUCAUGGAAUGUAGAGGGCACUGGAUUUAUAGUAUGGUCUCCUGCUGAUUUCUCAGAGCUCCUGUUGCUUAAAUAUUUCAAGCACAACAAUUUCUCCAGCUUCAUUCGCCAACUUAAUACCUAUGUCAGAAGAGAAGCUUGAUAAGCUUUAAGGAACUCAACCUCUGAGCAUAACAAUGAGUGUAAAGGAGUACGUGCGGACUGAGUUUCUAAAACUGGAACAAGAAACCAUCCUCCCUAACAAGCAACUUUUUCCUUCUCUCGUCGCACUGGAAGAAGAAGUGCUCAUUCCACUACGGGUUCUGGGAUUUUCUUCAUGACACGUGCCCCUUCAUUUUUCACCUUAAUAAAGGGUGGGAGAAUAUUAUGGAGCUUUGGCGGUGGACUCGUGGACCAUGUAGCAGAAAAAAGAGAAAGCAAAAGCGGAGAUAAGAUUCUUUGCUUAGUAUUAAAAUCUAUUAUCAUUCCUUGUCUGCCAUACUCAUCAGGAUCAAGAAAAGCAGAAAAGCAGUGGGGAACAAAGCAGAAAAAAAAAAAAAAGGCAAAAGCAAGGAAUAAACACCCCACCAAAGUGAUGUGGUUUACUUUCCUUAUUUUUGAAUGAUGUAAUUUAUUUUUCGUAUCUUUCGAAGAUAUCUGUAUAAACCCCAUCAAAGGGUAAUAGUAAAAUAAAAAAAAUAAAAAAUAAAAAAAAAUAAAAGGCAAAGCCCAAAAUAAAUGGGCUGGAAUGUUAUAUGGAGGGCGAAGGCCCAUAAGCCCAAAAUAGCACCAACCAGGUGACCAAAAGUACGCCCAGUACUCCAAAAUUAUUUGGCAACCUGCCGCUAUUACCACCAACCAGGUGAUCAAAAGUACGCCAAGUACUCCAAAAUUAUUCUGCAACCCGCCAUUAUUACCACCAACCAGGUGAUGAAAUGUACAACCCGUACUCUAAAUAUCAUUUGGCAACUAGCCAUUCAUGCCACCAACCAGGUGAUGAAAUGUACAACUCGUACUCUAAUAUCAUUUGGCAACUAGCUAUUCAUGCCACCAACCAGGUAAUGAAAUGUACAACCCGUACUCUCCUUCAUGCCACCAACCAGGUGAUCAAAAGUAUGCCCAAUACUUCAAAUUAUACAUGAGCAUUACUCAUGUCAAUCAUACAUAAACAUUCAUGAGCAUCACUUAUGUCAACAUUCAUGAGCAUCACUCAUGUCAACAUCCAUGAGCAUCACUCAUGUCAAUCAACAUAAACAUUCAUGAGCAUUACUCAUGUCAAUCAUCUUCAAAAGCUUCAUUUACAAAAGCUCUAGCUUCAAAAGCUUCAUUUACAGAGCUCCAACUUCAAAGCUUCACUUACAAAGCUUCACCUGCAAAGCUUCAAUGCAGGGUAUACAAAUACCGCCUCCGAACAACCGCCACUUCGGCCCAUACAUGGAUUCAAUUUGAAGUCUCCAGCCAACAUACUCUAUUGACCGAAGACUUGGGGGACUACACUAUACACUAUAUAUUGGGCCUCAACUGGGCCUCAUGAAAAAUACUUGGGGGACUUAGCCCAUUAUCUAUGUACUGAGGAGCGAGCCCUUAUUCUAUAAAAGGGACUCCCUCACUUUCAUUAGAGAGCACUCAUAAAAAAUACUUGGGGGACUUAGCCCAUCACUUAUGUAUUGAGGAACGAGCCCUUAUUUUAUAAAAGGGACUCCCUCACCUUUGUUAGAGAGCAUCGCCACCAGCUGAGCAACCGCCUCGCCGCGAGCAUCAACUCUAGCACAUUAUUCAUGUAUUGAGGAGCGAGCCCUUAUUUUAUAAAAGGGACUCCCUCACCUUCGUUAGAAAGCAUCGCCGUCAGCUGAGCAACCGUCUCGCCGCAAGCAUCAACUCUAGCACAUUAUCCAUGUAUUGAGGAGCGAGCCCUUAUUUUAUAAAAGGGACUCCCUCACCAUCAUUAAAAGAGCAUCGCCGCUAGUUGAGCAACCGCAUCGCUGCGAGCAUCAACUCUUAGCCCAUCACUUAUGUAUUGAGGAGCGAGCCCUUAUUCUAUAAAAGGGACUCCCUCACCUUCAACGCCACAAGCCGAGCCAACCAAGGCAACAUAAGCCACGAGCCUAGCAGCCUCGCAACAUGUGCUACUUCUAGUUGAGCAUCAUUUCAUAUUGAGCACCGCCUCAUAUCGAGCAUCAGUUCAAGACAACAUCUAGUUACUUCGGCCCACACAUGGACUGAAUUUCAAGUCUCCAGCCAAAAGAUUCUAUUGACUGAAGACUUGGGGGACUACUUUUUAUACCAUAUUUAGGGCCUCGUAAUUAGAUCUCGCACAAAUACUCGGGGGACUUAAAUGUAAUUAUGUGAUAAAGGAAUUGGCAAAUAUUUAAUAAGUGAGGAGUCCUUAUUUUAUAAAAGGACCUCUCACCCUCACAAUUGAGGGAGGCCAAUUCCUAGGCCCUCUCACCCCCUCUCAAAGCUCUCACUCUCAGAGCUCUCUCUCCCUCAAAUAAAUACAUAAUCAGUGUGGAUGUAGCCCAAACCUUGGGGUGAACCACAUACAUCUUGUGUUAUUUACAUUACUUGCGGAAUCACGGUCGGAUUUACGUUGUUCCAAGACCUCCGGUUUUGUGCAUCAACCGAUUUGAUUUUUAAUUUUUCGAUAUUAGAUUAUGAAAUUUAAGGAAAAAGAAUGAGAAUUAUUCUCAUUCAUCUCAUUCCCUAUAAAUAAACAUAAUACUAAUUUAUGUAUUCAAAUAUGCUAAUUUUUAUCAUUAACUCACAGUUUAACAAUGCGUAAAAUAAAUUACAGUUACAAUUUCAGCAAACUCAUGUUCUUCAAGUAGCUCUUUCGAUUUUUUAUUACUCCUACACUUUAGCAAAACCACAUAAAAGAGAGAAAAAAUCCUCCUAAAUAAAAGAUUACGGAGAGCAAAAAUGUAAAUGGAAAUCAAGAGUGAUUAAUUAGGCCACAAGACAGCUCCAUAAGGAGGAUUGCAGCUUCAGCAACAUCCUGUGGAAACACUCGUUGAAAGCCCAAACCUUUGAAACAAAUCUUAUUAUUAUUACUAUUAAUUUUGUUGUUGGGAGGUACUGAUGGAGUGUCGGUGACGAUGAGCUUGCUCUUGUUCUUGCUAUGGCUUCCCCGCGGUUUCUUCUCCUUGUUGGCCACCUUACCCUUGGCAGAUGAAGUGUCAGUGGCGCCGACUACAAACCCAUUUGCAGCAGCCGCCGCAGCCUCUGCCAUGGCUUUUCUCGCUUUCCUCUGUCGAAUUCCACAUGCAUUGCACAGCGACUGCAACAAACACAUAUACACACAGAUGAAUAGACUUAAUUCAAGAGCAUAUUAUAUCUAGCCAAACACGUAUUUUCUUAUUUAUCUAUUGUCAAACAGUAAAUUAAUUUGAACCAUUAGUCAUGUUUAUUUUUGUGUCAGUAUGUUCGGUUCAGAUUCAGUCUCACAAUAUAAAAAUCUUACAGACAGUAACUACCUUGGGGCCGCGAGGACCGCUCCUCCAAAGUGGCGUUGUGUUUGUGUUACAGUCAGAACAAACCCUAACAGCUGGAGUAGUUUUGUUGUUAUUUCUGGAAAAGCUGGUUUCGUCACUGUUUUCUUGAUACUGAACAACUCGGAAUUUAUGCUCAGCUAUCUCCGCAGCUGCAGGUAUAUGAUUUCCAGUGGUACCGGCCGGCGCGAGAUCCGGGUUGGUCAUCUCUUGCAUCAACCCCAUCUUGGAGGACAUCCAUUUUACCGCCCUUGGCCUAAUAUUAUUAUUACUUUUACCCUCCUCUUCUCCUCCUCUACCAUUGAUCUCCCUUUCAUGAUCAGCAUAUGCCGACAUUAAUCUAUGGUCCUUGUUGCCUAUAACGUCCACCACAUGAGGCUGAACUAAAGAAGAUGACUUGGAUGCUUGAUCAUAAGUUCUUGUUCCACAAUCCCGUAUGUGCUUAUCAGCCUGAGAUAAAAAUAAAUAAAUAAAUAAAAAAAUUAAAAAAAAAAAAAAAAAGAAGAACAAACGUGGCUUUUGGCGUCUCGUACAAAAGUCUUUAUUAACUUACUAAUUAACUGAUUAACAAUUUAUCUAAUGUAAUUAUGAGUGUGUGUCGUACAUGCAUGUGACAAUCAUACAAAUGAUACAAAACACUAAAAAUUAGAGAACGAAUAUCGCUUUUGGAGUCUCGGACAAAAAAUCAAUCUUAUAUAUGUAUAUAGAUGGUAGCUAAUUCUGGAGAACGAAUAAUUCAUUUGCCUAUUAGUUUUAACUUUUAUCUAAGAAAAACCCAUCAAAAUUAAUCAAUUAUGAGAUCAUCAGAUCACAGAAGUACCAAGUUUGAUCAUGGACUCGUGAAGAAUCAAUUAAAGGAAGAUCGAGCUAUAUGAAAAUUUAAUUAAGAUAAUUAAGUUUAAUAUAUAUGUUCGUAGCUAUAUGGCUAGGUUUUCUUACCUUGUGAUGGUAUAAUAGUGAUUGAUCAUGACCAAGAGUAGUGGUAGUAGUAGUAGUGCUAGAACUCCCAGCUCUUUGAUCUUCAAAGGAGUCGAAGAAAGUAGGAAAUGAUGAGAUCAGAGAAGAACAUGAUGAAGCUGCAGCUUGAUUAGUAUAUGAUGAUGAUAUAAAAAGUUUCAGGCGUUGUUCCUGAUCAUUUGCUUGCUCGACAUGGGAGAAAGGAGAGGGUGGUGGGUUCAGAUAGACUGGAGUCAUCAUGUGAGGGAGAGAGAAAGAGAGAGAUCUAGAGAGAGGAGAGAGGGAGAGAGAUCUAGAGAGAGAAAGAGAGGGAGAGAGAUCUAGGGCGAGAAAGAGAGGGGUUAAAAGGGUGUUGUGUGUCGAGUGUCCAGCAAGGGAGGACAAUAUGAGAUAGGGUAAAGGCUGAUCAAAAGGUCCUGAGAUAUUCUGAAGUCUUAUAAGAGAGAAAGAGCAAGAACCCGAAUAGAGAGAGAGAGAGAGAGAGAGAGCUGAAAGGCAUUCACGUGACAUCGUGUCAAGAGGACUCAGAUAGAUAGAUAAACAAGCUGCUGCUGCUGCAAGAAAAUGACAAAUACAAAGGAGGUGUUGACUGCUACUACUCGCGAUGGCACUCCAGUACAGUAUGUAUGACAAACCCUAUUAAUUUUCUGCGGUUUUCACCCCCCACUAUUUUAUACAACUUGAUAAUAAAAACUUCAUCAAAUACAUACAUACAACACACAACAUGUAAAACUUUACCGCAUGUAAAAAUCUAUUUAUCAUGUGCGUGUGGUGUGAGUGUGUGGGUCUUAGCUAGGGUUUUAGAGGUUCAAGUAUCUAUAAUCAUCACUGUUAUUCCUCUGUGCACUGUUAACAUCUUCUAAGUAAACUCUUACAAGUAGUGACCGCCAAUACACUUUUUUCUUGUUUAGAGUAUACGUAAUAAGAUCUUAAUCUUUUCGUAAUAAUAAUACAAUCUUAUUCCACUUCUCAAACUAGCAAUAGCUAGAAGAUCUUAUAUAUGUAUUGUUUUUCCAAUUUCGAGUUUAAACUCUGAGCGUUCACAAUUCAGUCUAACUAAUAUGUGAGGAUGUAGAAAUGUGUCACAUGGAUGGUUGGGAAGGUUUCAGCCAAUUAGAUCUUGUAACAGCCUAAUAUAUGCUCGGCAACAAAGUGAAAUUUCAAAGAAAUUGAACCUAGAAAACUGUUCAGAUAUAUAUGAAGAGAUGGGUAUGGAAUGGAAUGUAUAUGGAUAGCCUAUUUGCAUAUGGGAGCGUCUCUCAUGAUCUCAUCCUUAACUUAACCUUGCCAAAACUCAUCAAAUGCUGGCACAGGCUACAGGCAGUGACAACCUCUCUCUCUCUCUCUCUCAGACACCCCCCCCCCCCCACCACCCUGCCAUCACCCUCGAUUUUACUUUCAAUUUCUGGUAUUUUUCUGAUAUUUUCAUUGCUCAUCUUUAUAUUUCGAUCUCCCUUUGUCCCUUUUUUUUUAGGAAAACUAACGAAAAGUUCAAAAAAACUUCUCUUUUCACGAAAAAUCAUUUUUAAAGGUAUAGUAAAUAAUGUCAAUUAAAGGUAAAAAUGUGAUUUUUCGUUAAAAGUGAACAGUACAGGAAGUAUUUUGUUAAAACUCCUUUUUUUUUUUUUUCUCACUGAUGACCAGGUCACAUGGAACAAGCAAUGAUUACUUCAUCUGAAGGAUAUAUGAAGGCAAUUUCAUUAAAUUCAUUUAUUUAGUCGUCUCACAAGAUUUUUCCGUUAAUUCUUGUCCGUUUCUAUUUCAUUUUCCCCAAUACAUACAUCGUCAGAGAAAAAUCGUUGCCGCAUUUUAUAAGAUCACAUUUGGUUUAUACAGUGGUGCAGGACCAGGGGACCCCUUUUAAAUCUAAAGCUGGCUCCGAGCACAAUACCACUUGAUGAGGUUUGUUCCACGGACAAAGGAUUGUCUGCACUCCUUGUUCCCGUGCCCUCACUACUACAAUAUAGGCUAUCACCGGCGGACCAAAAACCGACAAGAAACCCGAUUUCUGUCGGAAAUUUGGCAAAAAUCCGACAUAAAACACUGCAAUGUCGGAUUGGAAUAGCGACGCCAUUGCUACCGUCACUAAAGGGCUUCAGUGUCGCUUUGUUCGCUUAAUCCGCCACUAAGCAGCGUCGGUUUAAAGCGACGCUGAUGUUAACGUCGGUUUAAAGCGACGUUACAUAACAAUUAAAUAAAUAAAAUAUGCAAACUAGUGACGGUUUAAGGCGACGUUAGAGAACAAUUAAAUAAAUAAAAGCGACGUUAGAGAACAAUUAAAUAAAUAAAAUAUGCAAACUAGUGACGGUUUAAAGCGACGUUAGAGAACAAUUAAAUAAAUAAAAUAUGCAAACUAGUGACGGUUUAAAGCGACACCACCUUUGGUAAUAAUAAUAAAAAAAAAGCCAAAAUCUGUUUCUGUAUUUGUUCUCAAAUAUUAUAACUCAAAAAAAAUUAUAUAAUCGAAAUAAUAAAUUUCAAUUUUAGGCCAAAACAAACAAUAAUAAAAAUAAUUCAAAAGAAAAAUAGUGCCAUAAUAUACAAAUGUUUUACAUCUAACAUUCCAUAUAAUUUACAAAAAUUCAUCCUCCACAUUUAUUUAAAAUUAGAUACAAUUCUUCAAAAUGGACAAUACAUUCAAAUUCUUGCCACUGCGGAAGCAGAGAUUGUAGACAACCCAACUGCGGAAUCGGCCUGAAAUUCAAAAAUAUUGGAAAAAAAUGUCAAGAGCUUUGCUUAUUUGAGGAAAAACCCAAUUGAGAAAACGACCUGAAAUCCAAAAAUUCGACAAUGACCAAUUGAAAAUUUCCCAAAGACUGAGAAUUUUACAGGUUUGAAGGGCUUUGCGUACCUUGAGAGAUUGAUUGACAGGCGGGUGGAGGGGAGAGAAGACAUGGGAGUGGCCUUGAACGCUGGUUUGUUGACGGCAGAUUUGAGAAGAGAGAAAGCCGGCUUCGAGAAAGAUUUGCAGCGAGAGGCCAUUGGAGCACUGGGCGGAGAAAUAGCGGAGUUAGGAUUUUGGGGUUAACAGUCACAGCAGUUGGAAGUUGGAGAGGCAGGGGUAUGGCUGAAAUGGAACACUUGGAACAGUUAGUCAUCGUUUACUGCCCCUGGCUGGAAAUUGAUGAAGCGGGGAGCGUUACUAGAACUGGUUGACUUUCGAUUUCCUGUUUUGUUGAAGCUUAAAGGACCUACCAUCGAUUCUUCAGUCUUUGUUCUCUUCCAAAAAUUACUUAAGCUGCUGUUAAGUUGGUGAUCUUUGCUCGUACCAAACCCAGGCACAAUACUCAAAACCCAAAAGAGAGCUCUGCAUGAAAAGACCUUUCUGCGCACCAAUAUCACUCUAUGAACGGCCGUGUCUGCUUGCCCCGGAGCUCACAUUUCGAAUUCGAAUUCCCGGGUUUUCUCAGAACUGAGAUUUACAGGUAGUGAAGCAGAAAUCUCGUGAGGAUCAGGCUGUUGUUAUCGCCGGUCAGCUCCCGGAUGGCGAGGAAAAUUGCGAAACCUGUUGUCGCGGUUGAGGAUCCCAGAAGGUAGCGUGUAAUAGACGGGUUCCAUUUGUGAUUAUACAAGUUGAGGGAAAGAGUAAGGCUGAAAUGGGAGAAAGAGAAGGAGAAGGAGUAAACCAGAGGAGAAAUAUAAGAGAGAAAUGGAAGCGCAGAAGUACUGGGAAAGACGAGGUUUAAAUAUGGAUAAAAACUUAGUGUCGGUUAAUACCGACAGUAGCUACAACUUGUGUUGAACAAUGAACACCCUACGUCGGUCAAAACCGACGUAAUAUCUGACAAAUGAUAAAAAUUGCUUGCGUCGAAAUAUGAUGACUUUGCGUCGGUUCAAACCGACACUAGCUCUGACACACUUUUGAAUGAAAGGUCUGACAUUUUUUUACUGACAGGGUUGUGUCGGAUAAAACUGACGUUAGCUUGAUAGAUUUGUGUAGCGUCGAAAUAAUGAGAGUUUGCGUCGGUUUAACCGACGCCAACUCUGACACAGUCUGCAAGAGCUCGUCCAACCCAUUUCCCCGUGCAAAAAAAAACCGGGAAAAUUCUUUAAAUUUGAAUUUUUAAAAUUUGAAUCUUCAAAUACCUUUAUCUACCCGUUUUCUAAUUAAAAACACAUUAUUACUAAUCUUACCAAUUUAUCAAAAAAUCAAAAGAAACAUUGCCAGAGGUAGAUAAAAAAUUUGUGAUGUAGGUAGAAUUUAUGAUAGAGGUAGAUUGUGAACAAAAACCUAUUGUAUAGAUAGAUAAUACAAAAUAAUUUGUGAUACAUAUAGACUAUGAACAAAAACAUAUUGUAUAGGUAGAUAACACAAUUAAUUUGUGAUAAAUAGGUAGAUAACAC
RNAcentral lists this long non-coding RNA (25899 nucleotides) under Malus domestica (apple). RNAcentral's name for it is "long non-coding RNA (MDOM_LNC007296)". The record is from RNAcentral. Lineage: Eukaryota; Viridiplantae; Streptophyta; Magnoliopsida; Rosales; Rosaceae.